RNAcentral lists this ribosomal RNA (214 nucleotides) under uncultured bacterium. RNAcentral describes it as "partial 16S ribosomal RNA". It matches the Rfam family "Bacterial small subunit ribosomal RNA", at positions 1287 to 1500 of the family's 1533-position model. The record is from RNAcentral.
CCCAGUUCGGAUCGUAGGCUGCAACCCGCCUGCGUGAAGUCGGAAUCGCUAGUAAUCGCGGAUCAGCAUGCCGCGGUGAAUACGUUCCCGGGCCUUGUACACACCGCCCGUCACACCAUGAGAGUCGGGAACACCCGAAGUCCGUAGCCUAACCGCAAGGAGGGCGCGGCCGAAGGUGGGUUCGAUAAUUGGGGUGAAGUCGUAACAAGGUAAC